GACGAACGCUGGCGGCGUGCUUAACACAUGCAAGUCGAACGGAAAGGCCCUGCUUUUGUGGGGUGCUCGAGUGGCGAACGGGUGAGUAACACGUGAGUAACCUGCCCUUGACUUUGGGAUAACUUCAGGAAACUGGGGCUAAUACCGGAUAGGAGCUCCUGCUGCAUGGUGGGGGUUGGAUAGUUUCGGCGGUUGGGGAUGUACUCGCGGCUUAUCAGCUUGUUGGUGGGGUAGUGGCUUACCAAGGCUUUGACGGGUAGCCGGCCUGAGAGGGUGACCGGCGACAUUGGGACGGAGAUACGGCCCAGACUCCUACGGGAGGCAGCAGUGGGGAAUAUUGCACAAUGGGCGGAAGCCUGAUGCAGCAACGCCGCGUGCGUGAUGACGGCCUUCGGGUUGUAAACCGCUUUCGCCUGUGACGAAGCGUGAGUGACGGUAAUGGGUAAAGAAGCACCGGCUAACUACGUG
Molecule: ribosomal RNA, 468 nt
Filed under: uncultured bacterium
Lineage: Bacteria
Description: partial 16S ribosomal RNA
Rfam family: Bacterial small subunit ribosomal RNA
Source: RNAcentral